RNAcentral lists this transfer RNA (85 nucleotides) under bacterium. RNAcentral describes it as "tRNA-Leu". It matches the Rfam family "tRNA". From Rfam's summary of the family: Transfer RNA (tRNA) molecules are approximately 80 nucleotides in length. Their secondary structure includes four short double-helical elements and three loops (D, anti-codon, and T loops). The record is from RNAcentral.
GCCUGGGUGGAGAAAUUGGUAGACUCGCCAUCUUGAGGUGAUGGUGCCGAAAGGCAUGCAGGUUCAAAUCCUGUCCCAGGCACCA